RNAcentral lists this long non-coding RNA (681 nucleotides) under Homo sapiens (human). RNAcentral's name for it is "HSALNT0269084". Lineage: Eukaryota; Metazoa; Chordata; Mammalia; Primates; Hominidae. The record is from RNAcentral.
ACCCUUUGAGGUUUCUUUACUGGCAUUGUUAUUUUGAUUGGAGAGCCAAUUUGCUAUCUGUGAACUUUUGCAGAUGCGUGAAUCGUGAGUGAGAUAGAGAGGUGACAUAUAUUUGAGUGUGUGGUAUGGGGGAGAGAAAGAGUCACUUUUUGUGCUCUUCCGGGCACGUCUUCAAACACACCAUGCUGUCCCCCACACAGAUCUCUGAGAACUCUGGCCACACCUCAUUCUUAAAAGCAUAAUAUGUGAGUGACUAGGACAGAAUUCUUUCCCUGGAUUCCCUUAGAGAAUGUCUCACGAAAUAACGUCUCAUGGCAAUGAAUCAUCGGCUCAGGAUCCGACCAGUAAGCCACUGGCCACAUUUCUAUUUUUAAGAGUCACUAGGAAAAGUUGGAAAUAAUUUUAGAAAAUAAAGAAAAUACUCUUUGGCCUUUCUUUCAUUUUCUUUUCAUUUGGGGAGUAAGUGGAGAAUGGGGGAAGAGAUCUCAUGUCUUUGAUUCAUGUAAAGCCAAGUUCUGGAAAUAUAGCAAACGCAGGAGAACUCUUUCUUAAGUGGUAGGAACAGUCCUAAUUCCCACAGUUUAGGUUAUCUGGUCUAUUUCAAGGUUUUGGUGCGUGAGGUUUGGUGUCAACAGCAUGAUAUGAUCUGUGGUAUACUUAGGGUUCCCAAAUAUGAAUGUA